RNAcentral lists this ribosomal RNA (496 nucleotides) under uncultured bacterium. RNAcentral's name for it is "partial 16S ribosomal RNA". It matches the Rfam family "Bacterial small subunit ribosomal RNA", at positions 29 to 507 of the family's 1533-position model. The record is from RNAcentral.
AUGAACGCUGGCGGCGUGCCUAAUACAUGCAAGUCGAGCGAACAGACGAGGAGCUUGCUCCUCUGACGUUAGCGGCGGACGGGGGAGUAACACGUGGAUAACCUACCUAUAAGACUGGGAUAACUUCGGGAAACCGGAGCUAAUACCGGAUAAUAUAUUGAACCGCCUGGUUCAAUAGUGAAAGACGGUUUUGCUGUCACUUAUAGAUGGAUCCGCGCCGCAUUAGCUAGUUGGUAAGGUAACGGCUUACCAAGGCAACGAUGCGUAGCCGACCUGAGAGGGUGAUCGGCCACACUGGAACUGAGACACGGUCCAGACUCCUACGGGAGGCAGCAGUAGGGAAUCUUCCGCAAUGGGCGAAAGCCUGACGGAGCAACGCCGCGUGAGUGAUGAAGGUCUUCGGAUCGUAAAACUCUGUUAUUAGGGAAGAACAAAUGUGUAAGUAACUAUGCACGUCUUGACGGUACCUAAUCAGAAAGCCACGGCUAACUACGUG